Molecule: non-coding RNA, 71 nt
Organism: Candidatus Riesia pediculicola
Lineage: Bacteria; Pseudomonadati; Pseudomonadota; Gammaproteobacteria; Enterobacterales; Enterobacteriaceae
Source: Rfam
UGGGGUAUAGCCAAGCGGAAAGGCACCAGGUUUUGAUCCUGGCAUCCCUGGUUCGAAUCCAGGUACCCCAG